AGGCAACGGGUUUUGGUCCCCCCCCUUGGGGGUUUGAAUCCCUCCSUCCCCGA
This 53-nucleotide transfer RNA is filed under the name Barbosella australis. RNAcentral's name for it is "partial tRNA-Gln". The record is from RNAcentral. Lineage: Eukaryota; Viridiplantae; Streptophyta; Magnoliopsida; Asparagales; Orchidaceae.